CUAUUGGAGAGUUUGAUUCUGGCUCAGAACGAACGCUGGCGGCGUGGAUAAGACAUGCAAGUCGAACGCGAUUUUUCCGGUUAGCAAUAACUGGAGAAAUUGAGUGGCGAAUGGGUGCGUAACACGUGGGAAUUUAUCCGGAAGUGGGGGAUAGCUUGCCGAAAGGCAAAUUAAUACCGCAUAUGCCCGUAAGGGCAAAGUGGGGGACCGCAAGGCCUCACGCUAUCGGAGGAGCCCGCGCCCUAUCAGCUAGUUGGUGAGGUAAUGGCUCACCAAGGCUUAGACGGGUAGCUGGUCUGAGAGGACGACCAGCCACACUGGAACUGAGACACGGUCCAGACACCUACGGGUGGCAGCAGUCGAGGAUUUUUCUCAAUGGGGGCAACCCUGAAGGAGCGACGCCGCGUGGAGGAUGAAGGGCUUCGGCUCGUAAACUCCUGUCACCGACGAACAAGGCAUCCGGAUUAAUAAAUCGGAUGCUUGAUGGUAGUCGGAGAGGAAGGGGCGGCUAACUCUGUGCCAGCAGCCGCGGUGAUACAGAGGCCCCAAGCGUUGUUCGGAUUUACUGGGCGUAAAGGGUGUGUAGGGGGUCGGGUAAGUUUGACGUGAAAUCCCGUUGCUCAACAACGGAACUGCGUCGAAUACUGCUCGGCUGGAGGUUCGGAGAUGAGGGCGGAAUUCUCGGUGUAGCGGUGAAAUGCGUAGAUAUCGAGAGGAACGCCGACGGCGAAAGCAGCCCUCAAGACGAAAUCUGACCCUGAAACACGAAGGCCAGGGGAGCAAACGGGAUUAGAUACCCCGGUAGUCCUGGCAGUAAACGGUGCUCAUUAGAUGUAGGCGGAUUCGACCCCGCCUGUGUCGAACCUAACGGAUUAAAUGAGCCGCCUGGGAAGUACGGUCGCAAGAUUAAAACUCAAAGAAAUUGACGGGGGCCCGCACAAGCGGUGGAGUAUGUGGCUUAAUUCGAUGCAACGCGAAGAACCUUACCUGGCCUUGACAUGCUUAGUUCAAGCGUGGAAACACGCUGGCCCGCAAGGGCGAUUUGCACAGGUGCUGCAUGGCUGUCGUCAGCUCGUGUCGUGAGAUGUUGGGUUAAGUCCCGCAACGAGCGCAACCCUCGUGGUUAGUUAUUCCCGGGCAACCGGAAUCUGACCAGACUGCCCUGUGAAACGGGGAGGAAGGUGGGGACGACGUCAAGUCCGUAUGGCCCUUACGGCCAGGGCUGCACACGUACUACAAUGCCCAAUACAGAGGGACGCAAGACCGCAAGGUGGAGCUAAUCCCGUAAAGUUGGGCCCAGUUCGGAUUGGAGGCUGCAACUCGCCUCCAUGAAGUUGGAAUCGCUAGUAAUGGCGCAUCAGCUACGGCGCCGUGAAUACGUUCCCGGGCCUUGUACACACCGCCCGUCACAUCAUGAAAGCCGGUCUUACCCAAAGUCGCCUCCGGGUGCCUAAGGUAAGGCUGGUGAUUGGGAUGAAGUCGUAACAAGGUAGCCGUAGGGGAACCUGCGGCUGGAUUACCUCCUUUCUAAGGAGUA
RNAcentral lists this ribosomal RNA (1537 nucleotides) under Verrucomicrobia subdivision 6 bacterium BACL9 MAG-120507-bin52. Its description in RNAcentral is "bacterial SSU rRNA". It matches the Rfam family "Bacterial small subunit ribosomal RNA". The record is from RNAcentral. Lineage: Bacteria; Pseudomonadati; Verrucomicrobiota; Verrucomicrobiia; Verrucomicrobiales; Verrucomicrobia subdivision 6.